Non-coding RNA from Ochotona princeps (American pika), 126 nucleotides. The record is from Rfam. Lineage: Eukaryota; Metazoa; Chordata; Mammalia; Lagomorpha; Ochotonidae.
AAUCCUGUUAUACCAGUGAUUUAGAUUAUUUGAAUCUAAAAAAAACCUGCCCAUUCACUCAGUGCUCCAGAAGGACUUGAGAGCUGUCCUUCCCUGGACAGAAGCUGAAACAUUUGGAGAAUUAAG